Molecule: ribosomal RNA, 429 nt
Filed under: Chloroflexota bacterium
Lineage: Bacteria; Bacillati; Chloroflexota
Description: Chloroflexi bacterium partial 16S ribosomal RNA
Rfam family: Bacterial small subunit ribosomal RNA
Source: RNAcentral
UGGGGAAUAUUGCACAAUGGGCGCAAGCCUGAUGCAGCCAUGCCGCGUGUGUGAAGAAGGCCUUCGGGUUGUAAAGCACUUUCAGCGGGGAGGAAGGCGUUAAGGUUAAUAACCUUGGCGAUUGACGUUACCCGCAGAAGAAGCACCGGCUAACUCCGUGCCAGCAGCCGCGGUAAUACGGAGGGUGCAAGCGUUAAUCGGAAUUACUGGGCGUAAAGCGCACGCAGGCGGUCUGUCAAGUCGGAUGUGAAAUCCCCGGGCUCAACCUGGGAACUGCAUUCGAAACUGGCAGGCUAGAGGCUUGUAGAGGGGGGUAGAAUUCCAGGUGUAGCGGUGAAAUGCGUAGAGAUCUGGAGGAAUACCAGUGGCGAAGGCGGCCCCCUGGACAAAGACUGACGCUCAGGUGCGAAAGCGUGGGGAGCAAACAGG